UUGGCCCAGAUCGUUUACCGUGAAAAAAUUAGAGUGUUCAAAGCAGGCAGAUCCAAUUUUCUGCCACCGAAUACAUUAGCAUGGGAUAAUGGAAUAGGACCCUGUCCUCCUAUUUUCAGUUGGUUUUGGCAGCGCGAGGACUAGGGUAAUGAUUAAUAGGGAUAGUUGGGGGCAUUAAUAUUUAAUUGUCAGAGGUGAAAUUCUUGGAUUUAUGAAAGAUUAACUUCUGCGAAAGCAUCUGCCAAGGAUGUUUUCAUUAAUCAAGAACGAAAGUUAGGGGAUCGAAGACGAUCAGAUACCGUCGUAGUCUUAACCAUAAACGAUGCCGACCAGCGAUUAGGAGACGUUGAAUACAAAACACCACCAUCGGUUGCGGUCGUCCUGGCGUCUCGUUUCGGCCGGGCGCGGGACGUUAGCCCGGCCCGAA
RNAcentral lists this ribosomal RNA (427 nucleotides) under Acanthamoeba sp. MA49. Its description in RNAcentral is "SSU rRNA". It matches the Rfam family "Eukaryotic small subunit ribosomal RNA", at positions 738 to 1102 of the family's 1831-position model. The record is from RNAcentral. Lineage: Eukaryota; Discosea; Longamoebia; Acanthamoebidae.